AGUGAACGCUGGCGGUAGGCCUAACACAUGCAAGUCGAACGGCAGCACAGUAAGAGCUUGCUCUUACGGGUGGCGAGUGGCGGACGGGUGAGGAAUACAUCGGAAUCUACUUUUUCGUGGGGGAUAACGUAGGGAAACUUACUCUAAUACCGCAGACGACCUUCGGGUGAAAGCAGUGGAACUUCGGACCUUCCUCGAUUGAAUGAGCCGAUGUCGGAUUAGCUAGUUGGCGGGGUAAAGGCCCACCAAGGCGACGAUCCGUAGCUGGUCUGAGAGGAUGAUCAGCCACACUGGAACUGAGACACGGUCCAGACUCCUACGGGAGGCAGCAGUGGGGAAUAUUGGACAAUGGGCGCAAGCCUGCUCCAGCCAUACCGCGUGGGUGAAGAAGGCCUUCGGGUUGUAAAGCCCUUUUGUUGGGAAAGAAAAGCAGCAGGUUAAUACCCCGCUGUUCUGACGGUACCCAAAGAAUAAGCACCGGCUAACUUCGUG
This 492-nucleotide ribosomal RNA is filed under the name uncultured bacterium. Its description in RNAcentral is "partial 16S ribosomal RNA". It matches the Rfam family "Bacterial small subunit ribosomal RNA", at positions 29 to 507 of the family's 1533-position model. The record is from RNAcentral.